This 72-nucleotide transfer RNA is filed under the name Stegodyphus mimosarum. It matches the Rfam family "tRNA". From Rfam's summary of the family: Transfer RNA (tRNA) molecules are approximately 80 nucleotides in length. Their secondary structure includes four short double-helical elements and three loops (D, anti-codon, and T loops). The record is from Rfam by way of RNAcentral. Lineage: Eukaryota; Metazoa; Arthropoda; Arachnida; Araneae; Eresidae.
GCCUUGGUGGUGUACUGGUUAGCAUACUCGGUGCAUAUUCUAGAGAUCCAGGUUCGAAUCCUGGUGAGGGCA